This 497-nucleotide ribosomal RNA is filed under the name uncultured bacterium. RNAcentral describes it as "partial 16S ribosomal RNA". It matches the Rfam family "Bacterial small subunit ribosomal RNA", at positions 28 to 507 of the family's 1533-position model. The record is from RNAcentral.
GACGAACGCUGGCGGCGUGCCUAAUACAUGCAAGUUGAGCGCUGAAGGUUGGUACUUGUACCAACUGGAUGAGCAGCGAACGGGUGAGUAACGCGUGGGGAAUCUGCCUUUGAGCGGGGGACAACAUUUGGAAACGAAUGCUAAUACCGCAUAAAAACUUUAAACACAAGUUUUAAGUUUGAAAGAUGCAAUUGCAUCACUCAAAGAUGAUCCCGCGUUGUAUUAGCUAGUUGGUGAGGUAAAGGCUCACCAAGGCGAUGAUACAUAGCCGACCUGAGAGGGUGCUCGGCCACAUUGGGACUGAGACACGGCCCAAACUCCUACGGGAGGCAGCAGUAGGGAAUCUUCGGCAAUGGACGAAAGUCUGACCGAGCAACGCCGCGUGAGUGAAGAAGGGUGUCGGAUCGUAAAACUCUGUUGGUAGAGAAGAACGUUGGUGAGAGUGGAAAGCUCAUCAAGUGACGGUAACUACCCAGAAAGGGACGGCUAACUACGUG